RNAcentral lists this long non-coding RNA (11519 nucleotides) under Marmota monax (woodchuck). Lineage: Eukaryota; Metazoa; Chordata; Mammalia; Rodentia; Sciuridae. The record is from RNAcentral.
GUGGGAACAUUGUAGGUUAUCAUGUGAUUGUUCCAUGUAAUUCCUGCCUUCUUUCCUGCAACAACGGACACUUCUGGAUGUUUCACAGCCAGGCAGUUUAUGGUAUAAACAGACUUGACUCCACUGGUAAGAAACAAUUAACUUAAGUAUCUCUGGAACAUUUCUCUAUCAGUAAACUGAGAAGACUCCCAAUAGAUCAUUUCCGAAUUCCUCUGAGACCUUCAAGACUGGGUUGGAUCAGUUAGUGAAAUUUUUUUUAACUUUUUUUUAAAAUAUACCUUUAUUUUAUUUAUUCAUUUUUAUGUGGUGCUGAGGAUCAAACGCAGUGCCCUGCACAUGCCAGGUGAGUGCUCUACCACUCAGCCCCAGCCCCAGCCCCAGUUAGUGAAAUUUUAAUCGUUUUCCCUUAGACAUUCAUUUAUAAAGACUCUUGGUCAAAAUUUAUUGCCAUUUCUAUGUUUAUCAUUGUAUGUAAGAACUUCCAACUUGCUUGAUUUCAUGGUCUUUUUAAAGUAAUAUUUUAAUUGCUCUAAACCUCAACCUUGAAACAUUCUGGCUCCAGAGAAUUUUUGAAGAUUUUAGAUUAAACAAUCAAUUGUGUGUGUGUGUGUGUGUGUGUGCAUGUGUGUGUGUGUAUAAAGGAGAUUUGGAGCAGUGUGGAUGGAGAAGGAGGACUAGGCAAUCUCUGUAUUUGGUGAUUCUUCAGAUAAAAAUAGACAUUCUGACAUCUAUAUUAAUAAGUUAUGAUAAAAUUUUAGUCAAUGGAAAUAUUUAACAUCAAAGUGUUUUUUAAUUAUUUUAGUAAGAAAAUAUACUAUCCAUUCUUUUUUUUGCCAUCACACCCAUCUUAAUUAUUGUGAUAAUGUACAAAAUAUAAAGUUUGCUAUUUUAACACAUCUUUAAUAUGUAUAGUUCCAUGGCAUUAAGUACAUUUAUAGAUGGGUAUGGUUAUAUACCAACAAAAUUAUGUUUGUAUACAUCAGAGCUAUAUCCUCAGCCCUGAUUUACUACCAAAUCUUAAGGUAAUCAUAUGAUCCUUUUUAUAUUGUCCAGAGUCAUUCAUUUUGUUAUAGAAAUCAUGUUCUCAAUGUCUAAUAUCUAUUUAUAUAACAAACCAAGUUGACAUUAAGGAACUUGACAUUCUAAUUUGACACUAAAAUGCUCCGGGUUCUCAAUGUAUAUUUUAGUCUUCUUUGGAACAUAAGAUAUAUUUUUUUUCCUUUUUUUAAUUAAAAAUUUUCUUUGUUUUAAUUAGUUAUUUAUGACAGUAGAAUGCAUUUAUGCACUUUGAUAUAUCAUACAUAGAUGGGAUAUAACGUCUCAUUUUUCUGAGUGUACAUGUUGCAGAAUCAUAUUGGUCAUGCAGUCACAUAUAUGCAUACAAUAAUAAUGUCUGUUUUAUCUAUUUUAUUCUAUUGUCUUUCCUAUCCCCACAUCCCCUCCCCUCCUCUCCCAUCACUUCCCUCUACCUAAUCUAAGGUAAUGCUAUUCUUCUCUAGUACCCCCCACCUUAUUGUAAAUUAGCAUCCACAUAUUAGAGAAAAUAUUUGGCUUUUGGUUUUGUGAGAUUGGCUUAUUUUGCUUAGCAUGAUAUUCUCCAACUCCAUCCAUUUACUGGCAAAUGCUAUAAUUUCACUCUUCUUUAAAGCUGAGUAAUAUUCCAUUGAGUAUAUAUACUACAUUUUCUUUAUCCAUUCAUCUACUGAGGGAUACAUAGGUUGGUUAGCUACUGUGAAUUGAGCUGCUAUAGACAUUGAUGUGGCUGCAUCACUGCAGUAUGCUGAUUUUAAGUUCUUUGGGUAUAAACCCAGGAGGAAUGGCUGGGUCAAAUGGUAGUUCCAAUCCCAGUUUUCUGAAGAAUCUCCAAAUUGCUUUCCAUAGAUGUUGCACCAAUUUGCAGUCCCACCAGCAAUGUAUGAGUGUACCUUUUUUCCCACAUCCUCACCAACAUUUAUUAUUUCCUGUAUUCUUGAUGAUUGCCAUUCUGACAGGAAUGAGAUGAAAUCUUCGUGUAGUUUUGAUUUGCAUUUCUCUAAUUGCUAGAGAUGUUGAAUACUUUUUCAUAUAUUUGUUGAUUGAUUGUAUUUCUUCUGUGAAAUGUCUGUUCAGUUCUUUAGCCCUUUAUUGAUUAAGUUAUUUAUUUUUUUGGUGGUAAGUUUUUGAGUUCUUUAUAUAUCCUAGAGAUUAAUGCUUUAUCAGAGGUGCCUGUGAUAAAGAUUUUCUCCCAGUCUGUAGGCUCUCCUCAUGUUAUUGUUUCCUUUGCUGAGAAGAAACUUUUUAAUUUGAAUCCAUGCCAUUUAUUGAUUCUUAAUUUUAUUUCUUGCACUUUAGGAGUCUUGUUAAGGAAGUCAGAUCCUAGGCUGACAUGGUGAAGAUUUGGGCCUAUUUUUUCUUCUAUUAGGUGCAGGGUCUCUGUUCUAGUGCCUAAGUCUUUGAUCCACUUUGAGUUGACUUUUGUACAGGGUGAGAAAUAGAGGUUUAAUUUCAUUUUGCUACGUAUGGAUUUCCAGUUUUGCCAGCACCAUUUGUUGAAUAAGCUAUCUUUUCUCCAAAGGUUUUUGGCACCUUUGUCUAGUAUGACAUAACUAUUAUUUAUAUGGGUUUGUCUCUGUGUCCUCUAUUCUGUACCAUUGGUCUACAAGUCUAUGUUGGUGCCAAUACCAUGCCAUUUUUGUUAUUAUAGCUCUGUAGUAUAGUUUAAAGUAAGGUAUUGUGAUGCCUCCUGUUUCACUUUUCUAAGGAUUGCGUUAGCUAUUCUGGGUCUCUUAUUUUUUCCAAAUAAAUUUAAUGAUUGCUUUUUCUAUUUGAAUGAAGAAUGUCAUUGGGAUUUUAAUAGGAUGCAUUAAAUCUGUGUAAUGCUUUUGGGUAAUAUGGCCAUUUUGACAAUAUUAAUUCUGCCUAUCCAGGAACAUAAGAGAUCUUUCCAUCUUCUGAGGUUUUCUUCAAUUUCUUUCUUUAGUGUUCUGUAGUUUUUAUUGUAGAGGACUUUCACCUCUUUUGUUAGAUUGAUUCCCAGGUUGUUGUUGUUUUUUGUUUUGUUUUGUUUGAGGCUAUCGUGAAUGGGGUAGUUUUCUAAUUUCUCUUCCAGUGGAUUCAUCACUGAUGUAUAGGAAUGCAUUUGAUUUAUGGGUGUUGCUUUUAUAUCCUGCUACUUUGCUGAAUUCAUUUAUUAGUUCUAAAAGUUUUCUGGUGGAAUUUUUUGGAUCUUCUAGAUAUAGAAUCAUGUCAACAGCAAAUACUGAUAGUUUGAGUUCUUCUUUACCUAUUUGUAUCCCUUUAAUUUUUUUCUUUUAUCUAAUUGCUCUGGCUAGAGUUUCAAGGAUGAUGUUGAAUAGAAGUGGUAAAAGAGGACAUCCUUAUCUUGUUCCAGUUUUUAGAGGGAAUACUUUCAAUUUUUCUCCAUUUAGAAUGAUGCUGGCCUUGGGCUUAGAAUAUGUAGCUUUUACAAUGUUGAGGUAUGUUCCUACGAUCCCUAGUUUUUCUAGUGUUUUGAACAUGAAUGUGUGCUGUAUUUUGUCAAAUGCUUUUUCUGCUUCUAUUGAGAUGAUCAUUAUGAUUUUUGUUUUUAAGUCUAUUAAUAUGAUGAAUUACAUUUAUUGAUUUCUGAAUGUUGAACCAUUCUGAAUGUUGAACCAUCCUGGGAUAAACUCCACUUGGAUCAUGGUAUGCUAUCUUUUUAAUAUAUUUUUGCAUUUGCCAGAAUUUUAUUGAGAAUUUUUGCAUCUAUGUCCUUCAGGAAUAUUGGUCUGAAGUUUUCUUUCCUUGAUGUGUCUUUGUCUGGUUUUGGUAUCAGGGUGAUCAUAGAAUGAGUUUGGAAGGGUUCCUUCCUUUUCUAUUUCAUGGAAUACUUUAAGGAGUAUUGGUGUUAAUUCUUCUUUGAAAAUCUUGUAGAACUCGGCUGAGAAUCCAUCUGGUCCUGGGCUUUUCUUGGUUGGUAGGCUUUUGAUGGCAUUUUCUAUUUCAUUACUUGAAAUUGAUCUGUUUAAAUCGUUAUGACCUCAUUCAGUUUGGAUAGGUCAUAUGACUCUAGAAAUUUGUCGAUGUCUUCAUAUUUUCUAUUAUUAGAGUAUAAAUUUUCAAAAUAGUUUUUAAUUAUCAUCUGUAUUUCAGAUAUGUCUGUUUUGAUAUUUCCUUCUUCAUCUUGUAUUUUAGUAAUUUGAGUUUUCUCUCUUUUUCUUUGUGUUAGCAUGGCCAGGGAUUUAUCUAUUUUAUUUAUUUUUUUUCAAAGAACCAACUUUUUUUGUCAAUUUUUUUUCAUAGCUUCUUUUGUUUGGAUUUCAUUGAUUUCAGCUCUGAUUUUAAUUAUUUCCUGUCUUCUACUACUUUUGCUGUUGAUUUGUUCUUUUUCUAGGGCUUAGACACAUAGUGUUAGGUCAUUUAUUUGUUGACUUUUUAUUCUUUUAAUAAAUACACUCAAUGCAAUAAACUCUCCUCUUAGUGCUACCUUCAUAGUGUCCCAGAGAUUUUGACUUGUUGUAUCAGUGUUCUUAUUUACCUCUAAGAAUUUUUUUAUUUCAUCCUUGAUUUCUUCUACUAUCCACUCAUCAUUUAAUUGUGUAUUAUUUAGUCUCCAUUUGUUACAGUAGCUUGUAUUUUUUAUUUUAUCAUUGAUUUCUAAUUUCAUUCCAUUGUGGUCUGAUAGAAUGCAAGAUAUUAUCUCUGUUUUUUUUUUGUAUUUACUAAGAGUUGCUUUGUGGCAUAAGAUAUUGUCUAUUUUAGAGAAGGAGCCAUGUGAGGCUGAGAAGAAAGUAUAUUUUCUUAUUGAUGGAUGAAAUAUUCUAUAUAUGUCUGUUAAGUCUAAAUUAUUGAUUGUAUUAUUUAGUUCUAUAGUUUCCUUGUUUAGUUUUUGUUUAGAAGAUCUGUCCAGUAGUGAGAGAGAUGUGCUAAAGUCACCCAGUAUUAUUGUAUUGUGGUCUAAUUGACUCUUAAAAUCAAGAAGGGUUUGUUUGACGUACAUAGAUACUCCAUUGUUUGGGGCAUAAAUAUUUAUAAUUGUUAUAUCCUGCUUAUAUAAUGAAGGGAAUUCUACAUACUUUACAGGAAGAAGCAAAGAAGACUAAUUGAAACUAAACUUCAGAUAAAAUAGACUCUACUCUUACCUUUGGGGACGAAUAAAUGGGUUAUGUAUACUCACUAUCCAAAAAAGGGUAGUCGGACACCUACAGAAACGGGUAUUCCACUUAGUGAACUUCCGUCGUAUAAUAACCCAGAACGAAAAAUUAGGUUAAAAAGUUACAGAAAACUAACUAUACAAAUCCAACAAUUGUAAGUUCAAAUAAUAACUCUAUACUAAACAUAAGGGACAGUAAAACUAUAUAAAGACCAAAAACUAAAUCACAUCUAGGAGAGAAACGACCAAAAGUGAAAAAAAAAAGUGAAGUAAAGUACCUUAUAAGACAAAACUUACGAGACAUUACAUCCAAAAGAUCAAUACUUAAGAAAAGUAAAAACAAAUAGUACCUAAAAAUUUUAAAUUAGAAGUUUAGACUUUGAAUGAAAACGACCUAUAUUUUAAGAACUAACCGUAGGUACAAGAAAGUCUCGAACUUUAUAUAAUAAGGAGUUUCGAUCCUUAUUAUAUAAGGAUCGAAACUCCCAGACCCAACUCUUUAGUUAACUUUAGACUUAACCAAAGGGGGAUAUGCAUUAAACUAAAAGAAAGGGAAGAGUAUCGGAAAUUCUAAAAUAGAAAUAAGACAACAAUCAGUAAGAGUAAUAUUACACAGAUCCACACCCCAAAAAACAUUAACACAUGUAAACAUGAGAACAUAAACUGAAAGGUAAGAUAAGAAAUCCAAACCCUUUAAAAGACGAUAAAAUAGUAACUUUUCUAACACGUAAGGAAACCAAACAUAGAGACGAGGAAGUAGAUAAGACUAUUGAGAAUUUAAACCAGAAAAGUAUAAUAGGGUAUUAAGAACCUACAAGACAAGUACCAAAGCAUGGUAGAAGAGACGUACCAGUUGAGAUGAAAGUUCUAAUAUAAAACAGAAGUAACAGACUGUAAGACAGAAGGUUCACCAGAUUAGACAACAACUACGAAAGAUAACUUAAAUAUUAAAACCAAUGACUAAGGAAGUAAAACUUCUAAAGACGAAAAAAAGGGGUGUUAGAGAUUGAGAAAUAACUUCACCAGAAAGUGAAGGAUAUAAAAAAGAAACUAAAGUGAGGAAUAUGAUAAGAAAUGAAGUGUGUAGUUAAAUUGAUACAUGAUAGCCUUGAGGAAGAACCUCUAAAAAAAGAUGACACAAUACUCACCAAAGACAACGACUUCGUAGAACCAAACAAACCCCGUGAAAUAAGGGAACAAAAAAGUACAACAAUCACACAAAAGGGUAGAUCUUCAUACCUAGAUGUCACGACCCCGACAUCGAGUCACCAUCUCACGAACGGAACCCGCUCCUCCGUGAACCAAACUAGGAGUCGUGGUGUAUUUUUUAUGUGUUUAUUUUAUUUCCGUACGACAGGUAGAUGUUGAUGUUUUUUCAUACCUAGAUUCAGUCCUAUUUAAGAUGGGAUAUCUGGAUACCACAGGGACUUCCAAAGAUCGUGAAGCGGAAAUGACCACUCUGGUCAUAGUUGUCGUGGGUCACAUUUGUUAUAUAUCGGAAUUAGAAUUGUCGAGGGUGAUUCCACAGACGACGAAGAGCAUAAUUUGGUUUUACUACUCAUGUUAGUCUUUUAAACAAUUUUGCCAAAUCUUAAAGUUUACCACCUACUCUGUUGUCUCCAUCAUGUCAUACGCUAUAAACGUUCCCUCCUUCUCUCUUUGAUCUUUAUUUUUAAGUGUCCUUCCCACCUUCUCCUCUACUGUCUCUAACUGACAAGCAACCUCGUUACAACCUUUCUUUUGUCUGUUCUCUCCCCUUCUUAUAUUUGUUUCUCUUUUUUAAUAUCUGUGUGCUUAUGUUGUCUUUACGUUUUGUGGUAAGUAUAUAGUAACAGGAGGUGUGUGACUACGUAUUUUUUGUAGGACAAGGUUUAUACCGUCUCUCUAAUCGUUUAGCUUUUUAUUUUAUUUUAUUUAGAACGACCUUACAACUUGACAGAGACAGUCGCAAGUGGUCAAAGAGUCGGGACAGAGACUACAGAGAACCCUAGUGGCUUGGGUCUAGUCGGGAGUGUUUGGGUAAAGAAAUAGGGUGGUUAGACCCGAAGUCUAUGGAGUCCGAGUCGGUCCGACGUCAGGGUUCUAGAGUUACGACGAGGAUGAACGUCUCUCUGGUGGUCCCUAUGUGAGUACGUUUCCUCGUUAGGACUCUACGUCGUCGUUCUAUUGUCGGUGGUCCACUCCCCACAGAAAUACCUCAGGCUCCUCCAAAUCCACAGGCACCCCCAUACUGGACCUGCAAGUCCCUGCUGGAGUCCCCAGACUCCAGGUUACCACUCAUGUGGUGGUAAACCUGCUGGCACCCGGGCCCCAGGCCCUGGCUGGUGUCCCUUAAUGGGUGCAACCAACCUGGAGUAUCCCCAGAAGCAGUCCUCUAGGCUGGGGUAGCAGCGAUAUUGGCGGUGGUUGUUGGCAGCAGGCAGUGCAGCUGCAGGGGCACAUGAAGUUGCAACUGUUGGGACAGCAUCACCAGGCCAUCUCCGGGGGUCAACAGCAGUGUCGGCUCUAGUUGCAUCUGAGCCAACAGUGUCUUCUGUGGCAGCAACACCCAAAAAGAAGACCUCCAGGCGACCUCAGGCUGGCAGCAACAGAAUCAGAAGCAGCACCAAUGGGGUAGGGGCGCAGGCGGCAGUUGAUUUCUGGUUCAGCAGCAGAGACCAUGGAGGUAGUAGCUUCAGAAGUAGCCUUAGAGGUAACCGAGGCAACCAAGUCCGGCCUCCGCAGCAGCGGUGGCAGUGGCACCUGCAACCGCGGCACCUACCAGAUGUAUUUUCUUUUUAAAAUAUAAAUUAUUUCCCCUUAUGGACCAAAAGAUCAUGAAUUGCAAGCUAUAUUGUCAUAAUGGGUGCAACUACGUGCAACCAUCCUGCAGUAUCCCCAGAAGCAGUUUAUGCUUGGGUUUUUAAUACACUGACUUUUUUUUUUCCCCCCAAAUCAAUUGGGACUUAACUAUAGCUCUUAAUCCAGCGAUUGGCAGUCUUAAGACUCUAUGUGUUAAGAAGGUCAUUUUCUAGCAAGGACUUCUCUUAACUCCCCUAAAUAGGAUAUAGGUUUCUAAUUUAGUAUUUUCUUUAUAUAUUUGUGUUGCUCAUGGGACAUGUUACAGGACGUCUCUGCUUUGAUAUUGUUUUUCCUGCUUCACAGGAUUCAAAACACAGGGUGGAGAUUUUUCAAUUUUGAUUUACUUUUAAUAUUGGUCAAUUUUCCAAAGAUAAAAGCCCAGCAUUCUUUCAUUCACACUGAAUCUAAUCCAUGAGAAACAGAUGUAUCACAGGAUUUCCUUCCUCCCUUCUUAACAGAGAAAGGAAGGUGGCACUUCUGUCAGAUUUAAUCUCUAAGUUUAUUUUUUCUCUUUUGAACCAGUUGUGCUGAGCUGCUUCAUGGCUCUGAGUAUUGACUCCAAGAAUAUCAAACUUCUCCUUUGUAACCCUAAUAUUGUGAUUUUAAAGAAAGAUUUUCUAGAUGUUUGGUAUAAAAGAGGAUUUCUAAUGGCAUUGGAACUGUCCUUGAAUCACCUGAAACAAUAACAUCAAAGGAAUACAUACACAAGUUUUAUAAAAUUCUAGAAUGUUUAGACUAAAAACAAUUCCAGGAGAGACCUGGAAUUCUAGGUCUCUUCACAUACUCCUAGGCUAGCUUCACAUACAGAUUUCAUUUCCCAGAAUUUUCCCAAAGAGGCUUGGGAAAUCUCAGCCCAGGUUCCCUAGAAAUUAGGCAAAUGUUCCCAAGGGCAAAGUGGCUUCAGCUCUCCACUUUACCUUUAUGGCUAAUUUUCACUUAGAUUUUGUCUUGCAAUUCCUUGCAAUCCUGUCAGUUCUUUAAAUGUCAUACUACCAGAACCAGAAUACCAUUCAUUCUUAGGGAUAAAGGUGGAUGGAGGGCUGUUUUUUUUUUUUUAAAUAAUAAGCAAUUCAAACACAAAAUAAAUGCAAAAAUAACAUGGUUGACAUCAGUGUACCCACUUGCAUCAAUUACAUGCUAAUUUUUUCUUACUUAAUUAGAUUCCAGUAUCUCUUUCAGACAGACAGUUGAUUUUUUUUCACUUUUUCAUCAAUAUAAAUACCUUUCUUUGUAUAUGUUGCCUUGGGAACAUGUGCAAAAUGGGCAACAAAAAAGAAGGGAUGAGUGGUAGGCUAUAUUUGAAACAUUUUUUUUAAUUCACAUCAUGGAAUACUCUAUAGAGUUUAAAGGAGCUAAAUCUACACAUAUCAAACAGGAAAACCUCAGAAAUACAAUGAAUGAUAAAACAAGUUAGAAAAAUAUACAGAAAAAUACCAUUCUAUAAAAAUUUUAGAUACACAAAACAAUAAUAUAUAUUGUUUAUGAUUGUAUACAUUUGUAGUAAAAAUAGUAAAACCAUCCUUAGGGUACUGGUAGAGUUGGGAACUCAAUUCAAACCAAAGCUUCAUUCCAUUCUACCAUGUGGCCACUGUCUCUGUGUCGAGUGGGUGUCCCCAGGUGCUGGGUCUUCCUUGUGUCCACACUUGCAACUCGACAGUUUGAGAUUUGCUUUUCUCAUGGAACUUCAUUGGUUCUCCUAGAGGUCAUUUUCCCCCACCCCUUCAAUUUAGUACUUUGAAGCUAUAAUAUAGUACAUGCCCUGGUAAAACCUUCUCAUUAUCCUUAAUAUGCUUGGUCUUGUGCUAUAUACUGUGCUAGAUUCUUCAAUCUCAAAUCCAUUCUUUUGAAAUAAGAUCUUAGAUUGUUCUUUUGUUGAUUAGUUUGACUAUUGAAACCUGGUUCUAAAGUUUACUGCUCUGCCUUACUGCCUCUAAAGCCCACCUACUUCAAGGAUUGCGGUUCAUAUAACUGGAUCCAAAAAUGUUGCCUAUUUUUUUUUUUAAGUCAGUAAAAUGGCACCAGCUACUGCUAUGCUUAUAGAAGAGAUAAAGGAGACUUCUUCAGGACUUUUCCCUGUACCCUCCAAAGAGGAACUUAUUGUAAAAGAAUCUCACAACAUUUCUGCUCUUAAAAAUCAUUAAAAUAGAUUAGAAAAUUAUCAGUAUAAAGUGGUAUGGCAUAAUGUAGCUAGAAUUCAAAAUUCUUUUGAAUUUUAAGAUUCUAAAAUUCAAGUUUUUGCUUAAAAGGGAUUGAAGAAUGUUUAUAUCCUAGAUGGAUAAUAUAAGACAAUUUUAUUUGUAGUGUGUGCUUUAAUAGCUAUUUACUGCUAACACUGGUUUAUCUAAGCAUGUUAACAUAUAAAGUUUCAUAAAUCAUGUUCUGCAUAGUAAUAUUAGUGAGCACUAAAAAAUUUUAUGGCCUUCUAUUUUCAGGUGUAAACUUCCUGCUUUGGGGCAAUUUGCCAGAGAUAGAAGAAAGUACAGAUGAAGAUGUGUUAGAUAUCUCAGCAGAGGAGUGUAUUCGAUGAAUGGAAUUAUGACAUAUGUGUAAUUUUUUUUCAUAUUUAAAAUAUGUUAAUGGAUCAACUUUAAAACUGUAGUGAGGAUUUACUACUGAUUUUCUCUCCUCCUCCCUUUCUUUCUUCUCUUUUAAAACAAAAAGGGGCAUUUGUUGAUUUAUUUAUUCGCUAUCUCAAAUUAAUUACCUCAGUUUAAUUUAAGCCAAUGAAGUUAUUCUUUCCUUCUACUUUUACUUCUUCCUCUCCCCUACUACUUCUGUCUGGUAUAAGUGUAUUCUUAAUUUCAGUUAAAAGAUUCUUUUUACAUGUCACCCAGCUACCUCCUGAUCUAAAGAAGUUUUUCUUACAGCUUGAUGCCAGAUAUCAUUGAUUUUUACAUUCCUGACUAAAGGGCAUUAGUAUCCACUCAUAUCAAAUACACAUGUAUCAGACUCAUCUAAGUAUUAAGAGGGAGUUUAAAAAAAGCAAGCUAUUAGGUUUCCAUGAGUACUGGUUAGCAUAUGUGAUAACUGUUUUAAUGUGAAGCGAAACUUAUGAAUCAGCUUAUAGAAUAAAUUAAAACUUUAAAAUAUAUGGAAAAAUCUUUUUGAUCCGUUGGCAUGUUGUUAGAUAAAUGAGUUUUUAAAAAAAUUAUCAAUAUAUACUGUUUACUGAUGUUAUUUAUUUACAUUCUCCUAAAGCCAUUAUGGAUAUUGUAUUAUGAAAGCCAGAUAAACUAAACCUUAGUCUUUAUGUUUUCCUAUUCCCUAGGGCUUUUUCUAUGAAUAGCAAAUUUUAGAUGAGUAGUGUUUGUCCAAACCCUAAUAUGGAAAGAAGCUUAAGCCACUGUAUAUUAUAAAGAAUUUUUUUUCAUUGUUUGUUGUUUUUAAAAAUUGUAUUCAGAGCCACACAGAAAUAGGAAACUGGGAUAAUGUGGAUUCUGGUUUUAUGUAAAGCUAAAAUUAAUGUGUCUCCUUAACUAAUAUCUUAGUUGCAGGAAUUUUGUCAAUAAUGGUACCAAAGAAGACUUAAUUGGAGUUUUGUAAAUAAAGUUGGUUCUAAAAAUGACCA